This 1028-nucleotide ribosomal RNA is filed under the name uncultured bacterium. Its description in RNAcentral is "bacterial SSU rRNA". It matches the Rfam family "Bacterial small subunit ribosomal RNA", at positions 61 to 1093 of the family's 1533-position model. The record is from RNAcentral.
GUCGGGCGGUAGGGACCUUCGGGUUCUGAGAGCGGCGCACGGGUGCGUAACGCGUAUGCAACCUGCCUUAUGCAGGGGGAUAGCCCGGGGAAACUCGGAUUAAUACCCCAUAGAUCAAUAGAACCGCAUGGUUUAAUUGGUAAAGAUUUAUCGGCAUAAGAUGGGCAUGCGUCUGAUUAGCUAGAUGGUAGGGUAACGGCCUACCAUGGCGACGAUCAGUAGGGGUUCUGAGAGGAUUAUCCCCCACACUGGUACUGAGACACGGACCAGACUCCUACGGGAGGCAGCAGUGAGGAAUAUUGGUCAAUGGGCGCAAGCCUGAACCAGCCAUCCCGCGUGAAGGAUGAAUGCCUUAUGGGUUGUAAACUGCUUUUAUACGGGAAAAAACCCCCCGACGUGUCGGGGGCUGAUGGUACCGUAAGAAUAAGCAUCGGCUAACUCCGUGCCAGCAGCCGCGGUAAUACGGAGGAUGCAAGCGUUAUCCGGAUUUACUGGGUUUAAAGGGUGCGCAGGCGGAACAAUCAGUCAGUGGUGAAAUCUCCCGGCUUAACCGGGAAACUGCCGUUGAUACUAUUGUUCUUGAGUCCAGUUGAAGUAGGCGGAAUGUAGCAUGUAGCGGUGAAAUGCUUAGAUAUGCUACAGAACACCGAUAGCGAAGGCAGCUUACUAAACUGAAACUGACGCUCAGGCACGAAAGCGUGGGUAGCAAACAGGAUUAGAUACCCUGGUAGUCCACGCCCUAAACUAUGAUCACUCGUUGUUGGCAAUAUAUCGUCAGCGACUAAGCGAAAGCAUUAAGUGAUCCACCUGGGGAGUACGAUCGCAAGGUUGAAACUCAAAGGAAUUGACGGGGGCCCGCACAAGCGGAGGAACAUGUGGUUUAAUUCGAUGAUACGCGAGGAACCUUACCCGGGCUUGAAAUGCAAUCGACGGUAGUGGAAACAUUACUUCCAGCAAUGGCGAUUGUGUAGGUGCUGCAUGGUUGUCGUCAGCUCGUGCCCGUGAGGUGUCGGCUUAAGUGCCAUAAC